CUUGUACACACCGCCCGUCACACCAUGGGAGUUGGCUUUACCUGAAGACGGUGCGCUAACCCGCAAGGGAGGCAGCCGGCCACGGUAGGGUCACCGACUGGGGUGAAGUCGUAACAAGGUAGCCGUAGGGGAACCUGCGGCUGGAUCACCUCCUUU
This 156-nucleotide ribosomal RNA is filed under the name Bradyrhizobium japonicum. RNAcentral's name for it is "partial 16S ribosomal RNA". It matches the Rfam family "Bacterial small subunit ribosomal RNA", at positions 1380 to 1533 of the family's 1533-position model. The record is from RNAcentral. Lineage: Bacteria; Pseudomonadati; Pseudomonadota; Alphaproteobacteria; Hyphomicrobiales; Nitrobacteraceae.